AUUGAACGCUGGCGGCAGGCUUAACACAUGCAAGUCGAGCGGGGUGAUGGUGCUUGCACUAUCACUUAGCGGCGGACGGGUGAGUAAUGCUUAGGAAUCUGCCUAUUAGUGGGGGACAACAUCUCGAAAGGGAUGCUAAUACCGCAUACGUCCUACGGGAGAAAGCAGGGGAUCACUUGUGACCUUGCGCUAAUAGAUGAGCCUAAGUCGGAUUAGCUAGUUGGUGGGGUAAAGGCCUACCAAGGCGACGAUCUGUAGCGGGUCUGAGAGGAUGAUCCGCCACACUGGGAAUGAGACACGGCCCAGACUCCUACGGGGGGCAGCAGUGGGGAAGAGUGGACAAUGGGGGGCACCCUGAUCCAGCCAUGCCGCGUGUGGGAAGAAGGCCUUAUGGUUGUAAAGCACUUUAAGCGAGGAGGAGGCUCUUUUGGUUAAUACCCAAGAUGAGUGGACGUUACUCGCAGAAUAAGCACCGGCUAACUCUGUGCCAGCCGCCGCUGUAA
Molecule: ribosomal RNA, 503 nt
Filed under: uncultured bacterium
Lineage: Bacteria
Description: partial 16S ribosomal RNA
Rfam family: Bacterial small subunit ribosomal RNA
Source: RNAcentral